Molecule: ribosomal RNA, 425 nt
Filed under: uncultured bacterium
Lineage: Bacteria
Description: partial 16S ribosomal RNA
Rfam family: Bacterial small subunit ribosomal RNA
Source: RNAcentral
GUGGGGAAUAUUGGACAAUGGGCGAAAGCCUGAUCCAGCAAUGCCGCGUGAGUGAUGAAGGCCUUAGGGUUGUAAAGCUCUUUUACCAGGGAUGAUAAUGACAGUACCUGGAGAAUAAGCUCCGGCUAACUCCGUGCCAGCAGCCGCGGUAAUACGGAGGGAGCUAGCGUUGUUCGGAAUUACUGGGCGUAAAGCGCGCGUAGGCGGUUUAUCAAGUCAGGGGUGAAAUCCCGGGGCUCAACCCCGGAACUGCCCUUGAAACUGGUUCACUAGAAUCCUGGAGAGGCGAGUGGAAUUCCGAGUGUAGAGGUGAAAUUCGUAGAUAUUCGGAAGAACACCAGUGGCGAAGGCGACUCGCUGGACAGGUAUUGACGCUGAGGUGCGAAAGCGUGGGGAGCAAACAGGAUUAGAAACCCCUGUAGUCC